RNAcentral lists this ribosomal RNA (689 nucleotides) under uncultured soil bacterium. RNAcentral's name for it is "bacterial SSU rRNA". It matches the Rfam family "Bacterial small subunit ribosomal RNA", at positions 56 to 740 of the family's 1533-position model. The record is from RNAcentral.
UGCAAGUCGAACGGCAGCACGGGGCAACCUGGUGGCGAGUGGCGAACGGGUGAGUAAUAUAUCGGAACGUACCCUUGGGUGGGGGAUAACGUAGCGAAAGUUACGCUAAUACCGCAUACGAUCUACGGAUGAAAGUGGGGGAUUCGCAAGAACCUCACGCUCAUGGAGCGGCCGAUAUCUGAUUAGCUAGUUGGUAGGGUAAAAGCCUACCAAGGCAUCGAUCAGUAGCUGGUCUGAGAGGACGACCAGCCACACUGGAACUGAGACACGGUCCAGACUCCUACGGGAGGCAGCAGUGGGGAAUUUUGGACAAUGGGCGCAAGCCUGAUCCAGCAAUGCCGCGUGAGUGAAGAAGGCCUUCGGGUUGUAAAGCUCUUUUGUCAGGGAAGAAACGGAUUGGGUUAAUACCUUGGUCUAAUGACGGUACCUGAAGAAUAAGCACCGGCUAACUACGUGCCAGCAGCCGCGGUAAUACGUAGGGUGCAAGCGUUAAUCGGAAUUACUGGGCGUAAAGCGUGCGCAGGCGGUUAUGUAAGACAGAUGUGAAAUGCCCGGGCUUAACCUGGGAACUGCAUUUGUGACUGCAUGGCUAGAGUUUGGCAGAGGGGGGUAGAAUUCCACGUGUAGCAGUGAAAUGCGUAGAUAUGUGGAGGAACACCGAUGGCGAAGGCAGCCCACUGGGUCAAGAC